UUUAUUCCUUUUCUCCAAGAAUUACCUAUUGCUUUUAUCUAUUCCUGUACACGUGUUGUGUGUAGACUCAAGAUACUGUUCAUCAUUUACACGAGUCUUUCUCCUUUACCACCGUCACUUUGGUUACUUUACUCCCAACACGUAAAUGUCUCUACUUUCUUCUAAUUUCUCCACUGCCUCAUCUGCUGCUCGCCUUCCACCACCGAUCGCCCAAAUCGACUCUCUUUCGUACCCCACGAUCGCCCCACCCCGAUGCCUGCUUACAAAGGUGGAGAAGAGGACGCCACCGUCGCCACCGCCUCCAUCGUCCUAAUUCAUGAGCCCUAAUUUCCCCUUUAUCAGAGGUAAUUGAUAGCGGAGACGAGGCAGACGAUCACCUCACACCGACGCCUGCUUACAAAGGUGGAGAAGAGGACCCACCGCCAUCAUCUAUACAUUGAACAUCUAAAAUGAUCGCUACCCUCUCCUUCAAUUCCCACCGCUUGUGAUCAGAAUUGUUGGGUGGUACCGCCUGCAUCGUCGACUCCUCUCUAAAACCGGUAUCUUCACUUACUCCACCGGUUGAAGUCAAAGGUUACUAUCUCAAUCAAGAAUUUUACUAGGUUUUUGUUUUCCUAAAGAUGAAUGGAUGGUGAUGUUGAACUUCUCAACGAAGCCUAAUUUAAGGUCAUGAUAUCAAAAUACCUGAAAUUUUUGUGUUUCUGAAAUCGGUGGGGUGUGUGAUGGAUUAAAGUUCACGAUUGAAGCCUUCCCUCUGCUUUGUAUCUAUUUGUUUUCCAGAGACAAUAGAUGACAUAAAGGCACCAGCUUCCUGUUUUGUUUUUGUUUUGCUUUUCAAAUUCUUUGUACAUGUUGCACUAUAAUUGACAUAUACCGUCAAUGAUAUUUUUUUUUGUAACAACUGUUAUAAAGGGUAUCCAAAUAUUUAACUUUAAAUAA
This is a long non-coding RNA of Lactuca sativa (garden lettuce), 939 nucleotides long. RefSeq lists it as uncharacterized. Lineage: Eukaryota; Viridiplantae; Streptophyta; Magnoliopsida; Asterales; Asteraceae. The record is from RefSeq and is a predicted model, not a curated record.